This 468-nucleotide ribosomal RNA is filed under the name uncultured bacterium. Its description in RNAcentral is "partial 16S ribosomal RNA". It matches the Rfam family "Bacterial small subunit ribosomal RNA", at positions 28 to 507 of the family's 1533-position model. The record is from RNAcentral.
GACGAACGCUGGCGGCGUGCUUAACACAUGCAAGUCGAACGGAAAGGCCCUGCUUUUGUGGGGUGCUCGAGUGGCGAACGGGUGAGUAACACGUGAGUAACCUGCCCUUGACUUUGGGAUAACUUCAGGAAACUGGGGCUAAUACCGGAUAGGAGCUCCUGCUGCAUGGUGGGGGUUGGAAAGUUUCGGCGGUUGGGGAUGGACUCGCGGCUUAGCAGCUUGUUGGUGGGGUAGUGGCUUACCAAGGCUUUGACGGGUAGCCGGCCUGAGAGGGUGACCGGCCACAUUGGGACUGAGAUACGGCCCAGACUCCUACGGGAGGCAGCAGUGGGGAAUAUUGCACAAUGGGCGGAAGCCUGAUGCAGCAACGCCGCGUGCGGGAUGACGGCCUUCGGGUUGUAAACCGCUUUCGCCUGUGACGAAGCGUGAGUGACGGUAAUGGGUAUAGAAGCACCGGCUAACUACGUG